UACGGAGGGAGCUAGCGUUGUUCGGAAUUACUGGGCGUAAAGCGCGCGUAGGCGGCUUUGUAAGUUAGAGGUGAAAGCCCGGGGCUCAACUCCGGAACUGCCUUUAAGACUGCAUCGCUUGAAUCCGGGAGAGGUGAGUGGAAUUCCGAGUGUAGAGGUGAGAUUCGUAGAUAUUCGGAAGAACACCAGUGGCGAAGGCGGCUCACUGGACCGGUAUUGACGCUGAGGUGCGAAAGCGUGGGGAGCAAACAGG
This 253-nucleotide ribosomal RNA is filed under the name uncultured bacterium. Its description in RNAcentral is "partial 16S ribosomal RNA". It matches the Rfam family "Bacterial small subunit ribosomal RNA", at positions 524 to 776 of the family's 1533-position model. The record is from RNAcentral.